Long non-coding RNA from Fukomys damarensis (Damara mole-rat), 644 nucleotides. NCBI's taxonomy places the organism in Eukaryota, Metazoa, Chordata, Mammalia, Rodentia, Bathyergidae. The record is from Ensembl.
CUCCAGGGUGUUUCUGAGCACCGCUCCCAUGUAUCAGACUGGCUGCCAACUACAGUUUGACAAGAUACAAAAAACCUCAAUGAAACAGGCAGCCAAUGAAGGUGCUGUCUCUGCCCGACAAAAACCAUGCCAUCGCGGGACAGACAGAACACAGAACACAGGAUGAAAUGUUCCUAACACAAAGACAACAACUAUAAAAUACAGAAUCUUUUCAAUGCCAAUUCAUCUGAAAAUAUCCAUACCUCUGCCCUGAUCACUGCAUAGACCCUAACCCCCUAUACAUGGUAGAUAGGCCAGAUGUCUCUUCCCAUCCCUUAUAAAGCUUCCUCCUUUUCUUUGUUCAGUACUGACAGCCUCUUGUUUGCCAUCAGUCCACCACUGCCCAAGUGAAUAAAGUCUGUUUUCACUAACCUGCUCAAGUGGUCUCAUUCCUCUCCAUUUGUUACACCAAGUACCCAUAGAGUAUUCUUAAGAGAGUUAAUAGUAUUUGUAUUUUUAAAAAUCAUUUGUAUACAAUACUUAGUUUCAGGUCCUUCUCGACCUAAAAGGAAAAAAAAAGAAAGUUUUCCCGGAGGCUGGAUUCACCAGAUUUCUCAGAAAUAACCACUGGGAUUCACUACACAGAUCACUGAGCUCCAGUCAGA